GUGGCUGUGGAUCAGUGGUAGAGUGCUCGCCUAGUAUAUGUGAGGCCCUGAGUUCAAUCUUCAGCACCACA
Molecule: transfer RNA, 71 nt
Filed under: Marmota monax (woodchuck)
Lineage: Eukaryota; Metazoa; Chordata; Mammalia; Rodentia; Sciuridae
Description: tRNA.Thr
Source: RNAcentral